GAUCAUGGCUCAGGACGAACGCUGGCGGCACGCUUAACACAUGCAAGUCGAACGAGAGAAGAGAAGCUUGCUUUUCUGAUCUAGUGGCGGACGGGUGAGUAACACGUGAGCAAUCUGCCUUUCAGAGGUGGGAUACCGAUUGGAAACGAUCGUUAAUACCGCAUAACAUAAUUGAACCGCAUGAUUUGAUUAUCAAAGAUUUAUCGCUGAAAGAUGAUCUCGCGU
RNAcentral lists this ribosomal RNA (225 nucleotides) under uncultured bacterium. RNAcentral describes it as "partial 16S ribosomal RNA". It matches the Rfam family "Bacterial small subunit ribosomal RNA", at positions 15 to 236 of the family's 1533-position model. The record is from RNAcentral.